GGCCCGGAGUGUGUGCUGCAGGCGGUCGGUGAGAAUCUCCAGUUCCUGGGUCAGCUUGUACUCCUCGCGGAACUGCUCGCCCAGCAGCACCAGGUCUCGCGUGGCGUCGUGCAGCGGGAUGUCGCUCAGGUCGUGGCAGGUUCAAAGCGCGAUGGAGAGCGCGUGCUCAAAAAUGUCAUGUUGACAUUAUACUGCGAUAGAAAGGGAGGCGCUCAAGAGCGACACAUUUAAAAGGCCACUUCUGGCACAUUCUUUGCAGCAAUCCGCAGGUUUUUCCCACAGCUUUUUUUUUUUUUUUUUCAAACAUUUGCAACAACUCAACCCAAAAUAAAACACAUUCUGUUUUCUGAGUCAGGGAUCAAUUUGCAAUUUCCACAAAUUACAACAGUUACCAGGUGUCUAACUGAAAAGUUCAAAAUGAAAAAGCUGUUAUCUCGAUUUUUGGGUAAAUCAAACCAUUUUUUUUAAAUUGGUUCAAUUUACAUAAACCAAAUCCUAAACCUUCUCAAAGGGAGAGAGAAAAGUCAGUUAAAAUAUCUUCUGCUAUCCUCAAGAUCCUGAUCCUAUUUUUAGGGGGGUUGCUUCAAAUAAUUUAUGACCAAAUGAUAAAAUGAAUUACAAAAAAUAUAUUCAGGAUUCAUUAUGCAUGUGGUUUGCUUUUUAUUUGGCUAUUGUUACAAAAGGCCAAAUCGGAGGUCGACUAGCAUCUUCUUUGUCUUUGACCCUCAGUUCCACUGUAAUUUUUGUGAAAGUGCAAAUAUAUUUGGAAUAGGAAUUAUACUGUGUUGGCAACUAUGUGAACAAUUAUCAUGGAUUCAUAACUGGAUUUACACUGUAGGUCCUAGUGCCCAAUUCUGAUGCCUCUAUGCGAUCCAUUUCCUGUUGUUUCCCUCAUUACGCCACUGGCCGCCGUCUGCAAUUAUUUUGCACAUCUAAUGUAGCAUACAGUAUUUAGACCAUAUUUCAUUGGCUAUGUUUUCGCUGUAGUUUGGGCGUUUUUUUUAAAUGUGUUUGUUUUGUUUGGACCACCAAUCAGUGUAUUGCGAGAGUGCGUUUAUGCUGCACUCACAUUGGCGGAUGUCAGAUACAUAUCGGAUUUUUUUAUCUACAUUUUGAAAGAAGCCUAAUUCAGUAUAGUUUACGUGAUCUGCGCAAAUGUGACGUUCGGUGAACCUGCCGUGUCAAGCUACGUCAGUCCUCCACUGGAUCUGGUGCAAUUUUCAGUUUCAAAAUAAGAGCACAAGCUGGAAGUGCUGUUUUUGCUUCUUGAGUGUUGCUAGCUUAACCCCGUUUUAAUAUCACAGAAUGCCUUUUAUUGUCACUAUACAUAAGAUUUGCUUUGUAAAUGUGCAAAGUGUACUUUGUGAGCCUAUGCUAUGUGCGUUUGCCUAUUUGUACUUUGUUGUCCUUCUCUUUGAAACCACACACACACACACACACACACACAUCCACACAACUAAACAUAAAUAUGCACAAAGAGAAAAGAACUGAAUUCAAUGGAAGUAUUUUCAUGAGUGUAUAUUAAAUUUGGGUAUCUUAAGCAUUUUUUUAGUGUUAUGUUCAUUUGUAUUUUUGCAAUAGGAGUGGUCCCAUUCACGUGAUUUGCGAUGCAGUCCAUGGAAAAUAGUGUGUUCAGGAUCAUAAGUUUGUUCGGCUGUGCGCUUUAAUGACGAGCGCGAAGCGACACACAACUACACGUCCAAGUGCCCUGUUAACAAUAAACAGUACCUGUGUGUUACUAGUGUUUUACACAAUGUUAACUAGUGACAGAUGCUGUGUAGCAAUCACUAAGUUAGCGGCAUAAUAAAUAAUGAGAAUAAAUAAUAAAAUAGAAUGCACAUUUGUGGUCACGUGACGCCUCCUAUCUGCCUGCCCCCUCAAGUAUGAAUUCCGAGAACCGGCCCUGCUUGAGAGUAGAUCACCGGAAUCGGGCAACUGGACCUGCAGUGUAAAUCCAAGUAUUGGUGGAUAGACAUUUACGAAUAUCUUCAUCAUCAUAUGUUAAAAAAAAAAAAACAAUAAUUCAACUCACGAGCUUCUGAAAUCAUACUUUUCGUUAUUUAUUUAUAACAACAAUAAAACUAGGAGUCAGUUAUUUAAACAAGUUCAAUAAAAUGUUAUUAUUUUUCCUA
Phyllopteryx taeniolatus (common seadragon) is the source of this 2132-nucleotide long non-coding RNA. RefSeq lists it as uncharacterized. The transcript is spliced from 2 exons. Lineage: Eukaryota; Metazoa; Chordata; Actinopteri; Syngnathiformes; Syngnathidae. The record is from RefSeq and is a predicted model, not a curated record.